UGACCGCUGGCGGCGUGCCUCAUACAUGCAAGUCGAGCGAACAGACGCGGAGCUUGCUCCUCUGACGUUAGCGGCGGACGGGUGAGUAACACGUGGAUAACCUACCUAUAAGACUGGGAUAACUUCGGGAAACCGGAGCUAAUACCGGAUAAUAUAUUGAACCGCAUGGUUCAAUAGUGAAAGACGGUUUUGCUGUCACUUAUAGAUGGAUCCGCGCCGCAUUAGCUAGUUGGUAAGGUAACGGCUUACCAAGGCAACGAUGCGUAGCCGACCUGAGAGGGUGAUCGGCCACACUGGAACUGAGACACGGUCCAGACUCCUACGGGAGGCAGCAGUAGGGAAUCUUCCGCAAUGGGCGAAAGCCUGACGGAGCAACGCCGCGUGAGUGAUGAAGGUCUUCGGAUCGUAAAACUCUGUUAUUAGGGAAGAACAAAUGUGUAAGUAACUAUGCACGUCUUGACGGUACCUAAUCAGAAAGCCACGGCUAACUACGUG
RNAcentral lists this ribosomal RNA (495 nucleotides) under uncultured bacterium. Its description in RNAcentral is "partial 16S ribosomal RNA". It matches the Rfam family "Bacterial small subunit ribosomal RNA", at positions 30 to 507 of the family's 1533-position model. The record is from RNAcentral.